GAAAUGCGAUAAGUAAUGUGAAUUGCAGAAUUCAGUGAAUCAUCGAAUCUUUGAACGCACAUUGCGCCCGCCAGUAUUCUGGCGGGCAUGCCUGUCUGAGCGUCAUUUCAACCCUCAUGCCCCUAGGGCGUGGUGUUGGGGAUCGGCCAAAGCCCGCGAGGGACGGCCGGCCCCUAAAUCUAGUGGCGGACCCGUCGUGGCCUCCUCUGCGAAGUAGUGAUAUUCCGCAUCGGAGAGCGACGAGCCCCUGCCGUUAAACCCCCAACUUUCCAAGGUUGACCUCAGAUCAGGUAGGAAUACCCGCUGAACUUAA
RNAcentral lists this unclassified non-coding RNA (313 nucleotides) under Clonostachys rosea. RNAcentral describes it as "sequence contains ITS1". The stretch from base 1 to 105 matches the Rfam family "5.8S ribosomal RNA", at positions 50 to 154 of the family's 154-position model. The record is from RNAcentral. RNAcentral also lists the same sequence under 2 other names. Lineage: Eukaryota; Fungi; Ascomycota; Sordariomycetes; Hypocreales; Bionectriaceae.